AGUGAACGCUGGCGGUAGGCCUAACACAUGCAAGUCGAACGGCAGCACAGUAAGAGCUUGCUCUUACGGGUGGCGAGUGGCGGACGGGUGAGGAAUACAUCGGAAUCUACUUUUUCGUGGGGGAUAACGUAGGGAAACUUACGCUAAUACCGCAUACGACCUACGGGUGAAAGCAGGGGAUCUUCGGACCUUGCGCGAUUGAAUGAGCCGAUGUCGGAUUAGCUAGUUGGCGGGGUAAAGGCCCACCAAGGCGACGAUCCGUAGCUGGUCUGAGAGGAUGAUCAGCCACACUGGAACUGAGACACGGUCCAGACUCCUACGGGAGGCAGCAGUGGGGAAUAUUGGACAAUGGGCGAAAGCCUGAUCCAGCCAUACCGCGUGGGUGAAGAAGGACUUCGGGUUGUAGAGCCCUUUUGUUGGGAAAGAAAAGCAGCAGGUUAAUACCCCGCUGUUCUGACGGUACCCAAAGAAUAAGCACCGGCUAACUUCGUG
RNAcentral lists this ribosomal RNA (492 nucleotides) under uncultured bacterium. RNAcentral describes it as "partial 16S ribosomal RNA". It matches the Rfam family "Bacterial small subunit ribosomal RNA", at positions 29 to 507 of the family's 1533-position model. The record is from RNAcentral.